AAUGAACGCUGGCGGCGCGCCUAAUACAUGCAAGUCGAGCGAGAAGACGUAGCAAUACGUUUGUAAAGCGGCGAACGGGUGAGGAAUACAUGGGUAACCUACCCUCGAGUGGGGAAUAACUAGCCGAAAGGUUAGCUAAUACCGCGUACGCUCCUUGGACUUCGGUUCAGGGAGGAAAGCGAUACCGUGGGUAUCGCGCUCUUGGUUGGGCUCAUGUCCUAUCAGCUUGUUGGUGAGGUAACGGCUCACCAAGGCUUCGACGGGUAGCUGGUCUGAGAGGACGAUCAGCCACACUGGCACUGCGACACGGGCCAGACUCCUACGGGAGGCAGCAGUAAGGAAUAUUGCGCAAUGGGCGAAAGCCUGACGCAGCGACGCCGCG
Molecule: ribosomal RNA, 382 nt
Filed under: uncultured bacterium
Lineage: Bacteria
Description: bacterial SSU rRNA
Rfam family: Bacterial small subunit ribosomal RNA
Source: RNAcentral